UAAGGAAUAUUGGUCAAUGGACGCAAGUCUGAACCAGCCAUGCCGCGUGAAGGAUGAAGGUCCUCUGGAUUGUAAACUUCUUUUAUCUGGGACGAAAACGGGAUUUUUAUCUCAAUUGACGGUACCAGAGGAAUAAGCACCGGCUAACUCCGUGCCAGCAGCCGCGGUAAUACGGAGGGUGCGAGCGUUAUCCGGAUUUACUGGGUUUAAAGGGUGCGUAGGUGGGCUUAUAAGUCAGUGGUGAAAUCUCCGAGCUUAACUUGGAAACUGCCGUGGAUACUAUAGGUCUUGAAUUAUGUGGAUGUAAGCGGAAUUUGUCAUGUAGCGGUGAAAUGCUUAGAUAUGACAUAGAACACCAAUUGCGAAGGCAGCUUACUACAUAUAAAUUGACGCUGAGGCACGAAAGCGUGGGGAUCAAACA
RNAcentral lists this ribosomal RNA (421 nucleotides) under uncultured bacterium. RNAcentral's name for it is "bacterial SSU rRNA". It matches the Rfam family "Bacterial small subunit ribosomal RNA", at positions 355 to 774 of the family's 1533-position model. The record is from RNAcentral.